This 939-nucleotide long non-coding RNA is filed under the name Equus asinus (donkey). RNAcentral describes it as "lncRNA (ENSEASG00005037656.1)". Lineage: Eukaryota; Metazoa; Chordata; Mammalia; Perissodactyla; Equidae. The record is from RNAcentral.
CAAUUUUUCUACAAUGAGCAUGAAUUACUUUUGUAUCCAGAAUUUUAUCUGCUUUUUCUAAGAGAACAUGUGCAGCAUGAUCUGCUCACAUUAUCAGGAACGACCCAGACUGAGCGGGCAAGUCCCAGCCAGGGCUUCCGUUUCCUGGGCACCUGGGCCUGGUUAGUGCGGGAACCUUGGCAAACAACUCUCAGGUUAACUCUUUCUUCAGAAGAGAGGAGGAGGUGGUGCCACAGGGACCUUCUGCUGAGGGCUGCCGGUAGGAGUGCGGUCGCUAUCGUGAGUCCCGUCACCCUGGGUACCUACUGCGGAGAUCUGGGGAGUUCUUGUCUUCCAGGCAGGUGGCUGAGAGGGAGAAGCCAGGAAACCAAGAGAGAAGGGAACCAGGAGAGCUGCUUGGUGCUCAGUCCGCUAAAAGACUAAGGAUACCCGUACGUGUGACCCCAGCCUGGCCAACCAAAGAAGCCCAGCCCCCUGGCCACAUUGAUUGAGCCAAGAGACGAGGACACAACUCGUCAGGUGCUCUCAGAGUCUUCUCUUGGCUUCAGACGCUGGAGGAGACUGUGGAGAGAGGAGAGGAGCCCCUCAGUUGGGAUGCUGUAAGCUUGCUGCAGUCUGACCGUGUGGAGUGAGACCGUCUACGGCGGAAGAACGUAUGGACACAUCUGAGACUGAACGUGACCUCUGGAGAACGCAAUGGAAGAGCAACUGCCACCCACUUCAGAGGCAUCUGCGGGCCCAGGAGGUUCCUGAGGAGGGGCAGGAGGAUGCCACAGCUGAGUCAGGGCCCUAAGAUUGGGCUUGGCUGCAGAUCUGGAGCAUCUAUCCAUCUGUCCGGGUGUCUAUCUGGCUGCUUGGGGCCCCCGAAGGGGCUAUUCCUGAACAAGAACCCUUCCCACUGACUCAUUUAACUAUUCUUACGACUUAUCUGUAGUCUUG